AUGUGGCGGGCGAGGGGAGUGGAGGUGGUGUCGGUUCAGUUUUUGGUGAGAGAAAAAAGUAUUUUUACUGAUAGAGAUUUUAGCUCCUCCCAAUUCUUGCUUAAAUUAUCCAACUCUUGGGUUAUAAAUUUGCUUUUUAGUGACAGCAUAGCUGCAGCCUGCAGGGUCUCUGAAGAAUGGGUCUUCAUCAGAGGGCAUGUCUCCUGGCAAGGGGGCAUUUGCUGCCUGCUGCCCAGCUCUGAGCAACAGCCCGGAGCCCUGCUGGCUGCUCUCCGAACCCUGAAGCCGGCUCUGAGUUCGACCAAUGCUCAGCCUUCGCUGGAGCGGCCAGGGCUCUCAUCUGCUGCUUCCAUUUCAGAUCUCUUCCUGUUUGGAAUUUCACAGCUCUGUGGUCAGCCUGAGCAAAUAAGAAUAUUGAUAGGCUUGAAAGGCAAGAACCUCUUCAGAGAAUGAACUUCAUUAGUCACUAACCCAAGAUCCCAUCAGCUGAGACAGAAUUUCCAGAGCAAAGGGAAGUGAGAGGUUCCCCCUGCCAUGCAACUUUGCAUCAUUCUAGAAAACAACUUUCAUUUAAAUUCAAACUUUUCAUUAUCUGUUAAAUAAAAAAUGUUAUGAGAAAACAUGGAAUUCACAUUCCCUUGAAAGCAAGAUCGGUUGGUCUCCAUUUUUCUCUUUGUCUUUUCUCACAUUCGAAGAAUUUGAGAAGAUGUUACACCUUGUCAGGAGUUAAUAGGUCUCUGGGGUGACGUUUUGUGGUUGUUGCCUCUCUAUUCUUUGGUCAGAGUCAAGUCAAAAGUGGGAGCUGCUGCCCUGGUGUGUUUCCCCAACUACUGUAUUUCCCUGGGCUUUGAAAACUCAUUCCUUCCCAAUCCCCACCCCAUUUCCUCAUCCCUUGAGCUUCUCUCCUGUACAUCUUUAUAUCUUUUCCAGGACACAUCCCCCUGGGCUGUGAAGUGCUUGGUUCUUCAGCUCCAUCCACUGUUCCAUUCCCCCCAGGGGUGUCUCACCUGCUUCCAUCACCUGCCACCCUCACCUGGACCCUCAUCCUGAUGUACUGACAACGCUCCUUCACAGUCACUCUACUUCCUGACUUCCUCUUUCCAGUGUCCAUCUUGCCAUCCUCUUAUCUCUGGCCCCUCUAGGCUCAGUCACCUCUGCCACAUUUUGUUUCCCUUACUCCUUUCUUGCUACCAAAAAGUGGUGUCUCUCUUACAUACCUCAUUCAUUCACAUCCCUCAUAAAAUACUUAUGAAGUGCCUAUUAGGCGACAGGCACUGUGCACCCUCUGUGCACCCAGGGAACUCAGGUUCUAAAUCACCUUUGUUGACUGGUCUCAGGAGAGAAAGGCUAUUUCAGAAAGCUACCAGGCAAUGAGCUUGCCACCCCUCCAGUAAAUGCACACUGAGUCUGACUGCUUGAUAGGCAUUCAGUGCAGGGUUUUUUUAUUUUUUAUUUUUUUAAAUGGAGUCUUCCUUUGUCACCCAGGCUGGAGUGCAGUGGCACAAUCUCGGCUCACUGCAACCUCCACCUCCCGGGUUCAAGUGAUUCUCUCACCUCAGCCUCCCUAGUAGUUGGGAUUACAGGCAUGCACCACCACGCCCAGCUAAUUUUUUUUUUUUUUUUCAUUUUUUGGUAGAGACAGAGUUUCGCCAUGUUAGACAGGCUGGUCUUGAACUCCUGAUCUUAGGUCAUCCAUCCGCCUUUACCUCCCAAAGUGCUGGGAUUACAGGCGUGAGGCACUGCGCCAGGCCGGCUUGCUGGUUUUGAUUCCAGCAGGCAUGUAGUGUGGGCAGUGUGUGUGUUAUGGUGGGAGAGGAAGGUGCAGGGGGAAGGGAUGUGCACACCAUAAACCUAUGACCUCAGUUCUCAGCUUAGAUUCUACCUAGAGCUGAAGCACUGGGGACAGAGCAUAGCCCACUGCUCUGCUGCUCUGACUUUGCUACCUUUUAGUCCCAAAGUGGAAUUCCAGCAUGUUCUGCCAUUCCCUGUCAUUCCUUUCUCCCCACCUUGUGGGCUGUCUACAAACCCUUCGUGGCAAGUCAGUAAGUUCUUCGGCUGUGUUUAUGCCCCUUCACUACAUCGAAUUCCUCUUCACCCCAGGAUUGGGGUGAGGGCCAUGGAGGGAGAGUGUGUCAAAAAUCAUUUCAGUCACUGCCACUCUUAGCACAUGGCCAGUCCUGAGGCAAGUCAAAUAUCCUUCCUUAGGCAAUGGACUUAGCCUGGCAAACAUCUUCUACCUAUUUGGGAUUGUGGGCCUGGGAGAUGAGGAAGCUGGAGUUGUGCUACCACAGAGAGAGGGAGAGGUGGGGCAAAGGGCUAAGUAUAAAACAGGUGGGCUCUGAUUGCGCCCAUUGCACCAUGGCUCAGAGCCUGGGAGCAGCUGGGACUCCUCUGGAAUCUACUUUCAUACCUCAUGUGGCUGGAAGAGCGCCUGACAAAGACAGCAAAUGUGAGGUUUCCCCUCACCAGGGAAUCUUGAAAAUCAGCCUUGAUUGUUCAUUCCCUUCCCAAUCAAGUCAGUCUUAUUCGAUGACAGAAGGAGGCUAGCCGUUAUCAUGAAUGAUUAUGGUAAUCGUAGCACGUAAAAGCAGACUCGUGUGUCCUUGGACAAGUUACCAAGCUUCUCCAUACCUCAGUGUUCUCAUCUGUAGGUUGGGGAGAAUAAUCAUAUUUGCCCCAUAUGGUUGUUUACAAUAACUACUUACAGAAGUGCCUAUAAUUUGUUAUCUGUUUAAAAUACAAGAUCUGAAAUUCACAAUAUCAUUAGGAAUUAUCUCAAAGAUUGAAGUUCAGAGAAGUUAAAUUACUCAUGCAGGCUGGGUGCCAUGGCUCAUGCCUGUAAUCCCGGCACUUUGAGAGACCGAGGCAGGGGAAUCACCUUAGGUGAGGAGUUUGAGACCAGUCUGGCCAACAAGGCAAAACCUCGUCUCUACUAAAAAUACAAAAAUUAGCUGGGCACGUGGUGCGUGCGUGUAGUUCCAACUACUUGCGAGGCUGAGGUAGGAGAAUCGCUUGAACCCAGGAGGUGGAGGUUGCAGUGAGACGAGAUCACGCCACUGCACUCUAGCCUGGGUGACAGAGAACCUGUCUCAAAUCCAUAAAUACAUAAAAAUAAAUAAAUUAGUCAUGCAGCUGUGAAGGCGUACGGGUAGGGUGUGGACUGGGUUCUUCCCAUACCUAAACCUCUGCUCUUUCAAGUUUGCUGCACAUCUACACUGUCUGAUUGUGGUGACUUCUGACGUGUUUCUUAGCCUCUGGGAAUCUGUCUCCAUUCACUGUGCCUGAAACUGCCUUUCUGAAAGUUGUGGUCAGGCCAGCAGCAGGAAUGUGUGAGAGGAGACUUAGCAUGCUGGUUUUUCUUUCUUACCUUGACAAUGUGGCUCCUUCUGGCAGCUUUUCUUCUGCAGAGGAAGGGAAGUACCUGGCAAUUAGGGGUGAGUUUUCUGUAAGGCCAAGGCUCUGGGAAGCAGCUACUGUUUUAGCUGCCACCACCACAGUAGCAAAAAAAAGAACAGUACUUCAACUGUGCAUGCAAGGAGGGCACGGUGCAUGCAAAGGAGGUAGUACCUGGCGGAGAUGCAUAACCUUGAAAAUAUGUAGCUGCGUUUCCCUAGUCCCCACAGCCUAGUGUGCUGUAAUACCAGUUGAACGGCCACUAAUUUGAUUCAUAUAAGAGAUUUGACCCUAUUCCACCAAGCUUUCUCCAGCCUGAAUUUCUCUUAUGUGUAGAGAGUACGUAGAGCCUUUUGCAUUUUUUUUUCAGCUGUUUAGGAACUCAGAUUUCUCUAUUCCACUUGGUCCCUGGUGAUCAAGGUCCCAAUGGCAAAGAUUUUUCCUCCCACGGUGCUGCCUCAUCUAUUAGUGUGCUAGUGCCGGCAGGAGAUGAGGGGGCAGGGGGUCGCUUAUUUGAUUGUCGUAUCAUUUAUGUGUCUGUGACUUCCAAUGCUAUUAUCUUUGUUUAGCACAAACGGAGAGCAGUUAGUGCUCCUGGUAAUCUAUCUCAGAAUCAAAAAGCUAUGGAGACAGAGACAGCCUCUUCUCCGAGCCUUUAUCUCUUACCACCAUCAUUUUCUCAGCUGGGAGCAGGCGACGACCCUGCUUCCAAUAUGCUGCUCAAUGAUUUUAGAUGAUUGAUCUUUCUAAAGUGCUUUUCCGUUUCUUGCCACACAGACACGGAUAGAUUAAGCAAUUAUGGAUUAUUUCAACAUCAGAUGGCCCAAGACAAUUAGUCAGAGGAGAAGCAAAGAAGUGGCCCUGCUGGCUUUUGGUGAAGGGGAAUUUUCAGGCGGAGGUAAAGGUGGAAGCAAGGAUGGGUUCGUUCAUUGGGAUGGACAGGUGGGGGACAGGACCUGGUUGAUCUGCGGGGUUGGGAGGGAAUAUACAUAUUUAUACAGUGGGAAUGGUUAGGAUUUUUUUAAAUGGGACUGUAGCAUAAGAACCCUCACUAUCUUUGAAUUAAACUAGCACUUUCUAGUAGCAUUCUUUUAAGGGAGAUUAGAUUGCUGAUGCUUCUUGGAGAAAAAAAAGUUGCAAGAAGGAGAGAGAGAGAGAGACUGAGUAGUGCAUGUAAUAAAAGACAAUAGAUUAGAUAGUCUCAGAAUGGAUCUGGGGCCCUAAAUCACUCCCAGGCCUGGCUGCCAGGGCACAGACUUCCCGAGCGGGGCCUUCAUGUUUUAUGGUGGCAGCGGCUCUCCAGGGAGUGAGUUACAACCUUGCCGUCAGUGGGCAGCUAUCUGUUAUCCUACAAGUAAACAGGUAUUCAAAUCCUGACUCCGGAACCUUCGCCUUGGCAUUUAAUCAUCCUGGUAAUCUAACCCCCGUCCCCCGCCAAGGUCGCUGUUUUGGAUUGCGUGACUUUCAG
Molecule: long non-coding RNA, 4861 nt
Filed under: Papio anubis (olive baboon)
Lineage: Eukaryota; Metazoa; Chordata; Mammalia; Primates; Cercopithecidae
Description: lncRNA (ENSPANG00000037620.1)
Source: RNAcentral